GAUGAAGAACGUAGCGAAAUGCGAUACGUAAUGUGAAUUGCAGAAUUCAGUGAAUCAUCGAAUCUUUGAACGCAUAUUGCGCUCUCUGGUAUUCCGGAGAGCAUGCUUGUUUGAGUAUCAGUAAACACCUCAACUUCCAUAUCUUUUUUGAAAUGGGAGUUGGACUUGAGUGAUCCCAACGCUUUUCCUCACCGAAAAGUGGCGGGUUACUUGAAAUGCAGGUGCAGCUGGACAUUCUCCUGAGCUAAAAGCAUAUUCAUUUAGUCCCGUCAAACGGAUUAUUACUUUUGCUGCAGCUAACAUAAAGGGAGUUUGACCGUAUUGGCUGACUGAUGCAGGAUUUCACAAGGGUCGGCAACGAUUCUUGUUAAACUCGAUCUCAAAUCAAGUAAGACUACCCGCUGAACUUAAGCAUAUCAAUAAGCGGAGGA
This 431-nucleotide unclassified non-coding RNA is filed under the name soil metagenome. RNAcentral describes it as "partial contains 5.8S ribosomal RNA, internal transcribed spacer 2, and large subunit ribosomal RNA". The stretch from base 1 to 120 matches the Rfam family "5.8S ribosomal RNA", at positions 35 to 154 of the family's 154-position model. The record is from RNAcentral.